GGAGGCAACGGCGCCUCAGGCGGCACCGCCCCCGGGCCGGGCCGGGGCACCGGGCGGGGACAGUCCUGGGCUCGGUGCCUGCAGGAACGCGGCUGUCUGCGGGUCACGGGGGUUACCGUGUGCGCAGAGGGGGUGUCAGACCCAGAGGCAUUGGCAGCGCCUCAGAGCCCCCCCGGACUCAGCUGCUCCCUGCCAGCGCCAGCCCGAGCCACGGGUCUGGGGUCACACAGCCCGCCUGCUGCUGGUGACACCAAACAGUUCUGGGGUCACACAGCAGGACAACAUGCCUGCUGCUGGUGGCACCAAAUAGGUUUGGGAUCACACAGCGGGACAGCCCACCUGCUACUGGUGGCACCACAUAAGAGGGGUCUGGGAAGGUACACAGCGUGUGUCCUGUUUCUGAACUAUCUUCACAAUUAACAGAAUGCAAAAAUCCCUUUCUGCAGAUCAAGCCCAUCCACUGACAUUAAUUUUUGCCUUCGAUCUGCUCAGCCAACAAAAGGAUACCGAAUCCUGUUAUUUCCUGUUUACUGUCCUGCUGGCACGUUCAAGCUUGCUGUCCCUCCUGAGCUGUGGAAGUUUCAACAGAGGACAGAGUGUGGUUCAACCAGAUUUACCCAGAGCAUCUCCCCGACCAGAACGGCUCUAGGAAAUGGAGGUGGCAGUUUCCCAUGUUGCAAAAUGAAACAAAAAAAUUAGUCACCUUA
Molecule: long non-coding RNA, 707 nt
Organism: Lepidothrix coronata (blue-crowned manakin)
Lineage: Eukaryota; Metazoa; Chordata; Aves; Passeriformes; Pipridae
Exons: 3
Source: RefSeq, a predicted model, not a curated record